UUGGAACAUGGAACAUGAGAAAUAAGAAUCAAGCAGAGAAUUUCUUAAUGACUCUCUUGAUGCCAUUUGUCGGUUGUUGUUCGCAUUGCCCCUGGUGCUACCAACUAGGAUUUGAAAGCUGUGAAGAGUGUAGAUUCAGGGGAGAAAAGUAGUAAUUUUUUACCAUCCACAUGAUGCUGUUGGGAAUCCUACCAGCUAAAGAGUUCAGAAGGGACACAUGGCCAGUG
This is a non-coding RNA of Pogona vitticeps (central bearded dragon), 227 nucleotides long. Lineage: Eukaryota; Metazoa; Chordata; Lepidosauria; Squamata; Agamidae. The record is from RefSeq and is a predicted model, not a curated record.